This 497-nucleotide ribosomal RNA is filed under the name uncultured bacterium. RNAcentral describes it as "partial 16S ribosomal RNA". It matches the Rfam family "Bacterial small subunit ribosomal RNA", at positions 28 to 507 of the family's 1533-position model. The record is from RNAcentral.
GAUGAACGCUGGCGGCGUGCCUAAUACAUGCAAGUCGAGCGAACAGACGAGGAGCUUGCUCCUCUGACGUUAGCGGCGGACGGGUGAGUAACACGUGGAUAACCUACCUAUAAGACUGGGAUAACUUCGGGAAACCGGAGCUAAUACCGGAUAAUAUAUUGAACCGCAUGGUUCAAUAGUGAAAGACGGUUUUGCUGUCACUUAUAGAUGGAUCCGCGCCGCAUUAGCUAGUUGGUAAGGUAACGGCUUACCAAGGCGACGAUGCGUAGCCGACCUGAGAGGGUGAUUGGCCCACCGGGAACGUGGACACGGUCCAGGCUCCUAAGGGAGGGCGCAGUAGGGAAACCUCCGCAAUAGGGGAAAAGCUUGCGGAGCAACCGCGCGUGAGAGAUUGAGGUCCUCCGAUCGGUAAACUCUGUUUUUAGGGAAGAACAAAUUUUUAAGUAACUAUGCACGUCUUGACGGUACCUAAUCAGAAAGCCACGGCUAACUACGUG